UACGGGGGGGGCAAGCGUUGUUCGGAAUUACUGGGCGUAAAGGGCUCGUAGGCGGCCAACUAAGUCGGACGUGAAAUCCCCAGGCUCAACCUGGGAACUGCGUCCGAUACUGGAUGGCUUGAAUCCGGGAGAGGGAUGCAGAAUUCCAGGUGUAGCGGUGAAAUGCGUAGAUAUCGGGAGGAACACCAGUGGCGAAGGCGGUUGCCUGGGGCUUUGCUGACGCUGAGACACGAAAGCCAGGGGAGCGAACGGG
RNAcentral lists this ribosomal RNA (253 nucleotides) under uncultured bacterium. Its description in RNAcentral is "partial 16S ribosomal RNA". It matches the Rfam family "Bacterial small subunit ribosomal RNA", at positions 524 to 776 of the family's 1533-position model. The record is from RNAcentral.